GAUAAUCUACGAUUUUCAUUUAAUACUUCUGGAUUAUUAAUAUCAGAAUUUCUGAUAUUUAUAUUUUGGGUAUUUCCAAAGUUUCCCAGGUUUUGUAUAUAUUCAUCGAAAAUUGUUUGAUGAAAUCUAUUAUUUUCAGAGUUUUUAAUUCUUUGCUUUAACUAUAUUUUUCCCUAAAAACUAAUCAUCAUUUUUUAUAUCUAGGAUUAAAUAUCCUUUUUAUCCUUAAGGAUAUCCCAUAAAUAUGCCUUCAAUUGUUUUGGCUGCAAAUUUAUGUUUCUUACAUGAUGUAGGAGAAGAUUCCGAGUGAUUAAAACAGAGAAAAAGAAUAGGGUUUAUCCUUUUUCGAUUAGGGAAAAAAGAAAGAAGCUUAGAAUCCACCAAGGUUCUAGAUCUAGGGUAGAAAGAAAACUGUUUGUAGGAAAAAACGAAGAAGGAGAAAAACAGGGAAGAAAGAAAAGAAGUUACCUUUGGUAAUUGCAAUAAUUCGAUAAUUGAUUUUCUCCUCCUUGGGCCUACUAUAUUUAUACUCACAUCAAAGGUAAUGGGCAACUCAUUUGAUGUGAGUGUGAUGUUUCCUUAAAAGGAAUAUGGGUUGGUCAAGCCAAUUAAAAUCCCCUUGAUCACGAUUCUGUCCAUAGAAUAUAUUAUUGUCAUUAUUUUUGUAAUUAAUAAUGACAGAAUCUUCUACUGCAUCACUUAUGCUCUUUGCUAGCAUAAUAUAAACAUCCUAUAGUUUUCAUUUUAUUGAAUAUAUAUGGUCUGUUAGAUGGAUGGAUGGAAUUCUAUUAAUGGAUGGAAAGAGUUUUGUCUUUUAAAGCAAUAGAUGGAUGGAAUUCUAUUAAUGAUAAUAUGUGUUGAUGCUAACACACAUAAUCCCCAAUAUUUUAUGAGAAUUUUAGCUUGUAUUUUAAUUGCUCUAGCUAUGUUUAGGUGGUCUUUAUGUUUUUUCUCAACCUUGCUAUUUUGUUGAGCACGGAAAUUGAUAUACGAUCCUAUUUUUAUUUAAUAAUUCAGUCAUUUUAUUUGCUUGAAAUUGUAAUAAAAUUGUAUUUUUAUCAUUUUAAUGAAAUUAUGUAUUAUGGAGUAUGUGUCUGAUUUAUAUUUCAUUAGAUAGACUCAAACUGAUCUACUUUUAUCCUCUAAUAUGGUUAGAAAAUAAAAUUGAUUAUUAUGUAUUGGUUUUAGAAAUUUUCCC
This 1198-nucleotide long non-coding RNA is filed under the name Zostera marina. RNAcentral describes it as "long non-coding RNA (ZMAR_LNC006006)". Lineage: Eukaryota; Viridiplantae; Streptophyta; Magnoliopsida; Alismatales; Zosteraceae. The record is from RNAcentral.